This 253-nucleotide ribosomal RNA is filed under the name uncultured bacterium. RNAcentral's name for it is "partial 16S ribosomal RNA". It matches the Rfam family "Bacterial small subunit ribosomal RNA", at positions 524 to 776 of the family's 1533-position model. The record is from RNAcentral.
UACGUAUGGUGCAAGCGUUGUCCGGAAUUAUUGGGCGUAAAGAGCUCGUAGGCGGUCUGUCGCGUCUGCUGUGAAAACUCAGGGCUUAACCCUGAGCUUGCAGUGGGUACGGGCAGACUAGAGUGCGGUAGGGGAGACUGGAAUUCCUGGUGUAGCGGUGGAAUGCGCAGAUAUCAGGAGGAACACCGAUGGCGAAGGCAGUUCUCUGGGCCGUAACUGACGCUGAGGAGCGAAAGCCAGGGGAGCAAACGGG